RNAcentral lists this long non-coding RNA (962 nucleotides) under Ananas comosus (pineapple). RNAcentral describes it as "long non-coding RNA (ACOM_LNC037413)". Lineage: Eukaryota; Viridiplantae; Streptophyta; Magnoliopsida; Poales; Bromeliaceae. The record is from RNAcentral.
UAAGGUUGCGGCUAUUGAAACGGUCGAAACUGUCACGCCCCACCCCGAGGCCGCUACCGAAUUGGCACGGUUCGGGCGCGGCGGGCGGACCGCCGAACGGACAGCACCUCCCCUGUCCGCCCAAGGCUCAACAACGAGAUCAUGUACAACAAGUCCCCAGGAAAUCAACUUGAAUACAUAUAUGAUCAUGCAACAACAGCGAGAGCACAAACAGUGCUGAACAUUACAAGAGCAAGCGUCACGAGUAGUAAACAUACAAGUGAAACAAAAGAGAGAUACUAAACUAUUACAUCCAUUCAACUUUGAUACAUUUGAUUUCAACUUAACUAUACAUUCAUCCAAAGCAUAAACUUAAAGUUUACAUUUCCAAAAUAGCCUCACACCUAUACAUCAUCUACUCUCAAGUAUAUAGGGUAACAACUAAUGCAAUAGGAAAGCAUCUACCAAUAAGCACUAGGGCGCUAAGCCCUUGCCGCGAUCAUCUGCCGGUCCGCUCUCGUGUGUACCUGUCCCCCAAAACCACACGGGGUGAGAACUAUAUAAAUAUAGUUCCCAGUGGGUUCGACCGCCGACUCCGCCGAUCUUCCCACUAGGUCUAAGCUGGCACAGAUAGAUAGAUAGAAAGAUAUAUGGAAAUAAACUGCUACUAUAUCUACUAUGCCAUCAAAUGCAAGGAAUGCAUGUCACAUCAUCUAGCAAUAUCCUACUAUCAUGCUAGUAUGUUUCAACAGUGUAAUGAAUACAACUACAACAUAGUUAUGCAGUUUACUAUGUCUAAUCAUGGUAUGAAUGCAAUCCACUUAUGCAAUUCCUGUUACCACCCAAUCAAUUAGGCCAACUUGCCUAGGUCUCAAAUCUCAAGGUCCUAGGCAAAGAGCUACCCCGCUCCUUGCCCGACUCGUAUCUCAUAGGUCCGACCCAAUCUCGAAAGUCCUAGGCAAAGAGCUACCCCGCUCCUNNNN